UGGCGAACGGGUGAGUAACGCGUGAGGAACCCGCCUCAAAGAGGGGGACAACAGUUGGAAACGACUGCUAAUACCGCAUAAGCCCACGGGUCGGCAUCGACCUGAGGGAAAAGGAGCAAUCCGCUUUGAGAUGGCCUCGCGUCCGACUAGCUAGUUGGUGAGGUAACGGCCCACCAAGGCGACGAUCGGUAGCCGGACUGAGAGGUUGAACGGCCACAUUGGGACUGAGACACGGCCCAG
This 240-nucleotide ribosomal RNA is filed under the name uncultured bacterium. Its description in RNAcentral is "partial 16S ribosomal RNA". It matches the Rfam family "Bacterial small subunit ribosomal RNA", at positions 96 to 334 of the family's 1533-position model. The record is from RNAcentral.